UUAGCACUCGCCCAACAUCCUCUCGCACUAUGUCCACUAGGUACGGCGUCCGAUAUAGAAGUAAUGUUACUCCAUAAUCCUGUCCACAUAUGAACUCUUAGUUGAUACCACUGGUG
Long non-coding RNA from Cucurbita maxima (winter squash), 116 nucleotides. RefSeq lists it as uncharacterized. Lineage: Eukaryota; Viridiplantae; Streptophyta; Magnoliopsida; Cucurbitales; Cucurbitaceae. The record is from RefSeq and is a predicted model, not a curated record. The transcript is spliced from 3 exons.